CUAGAGUUGCGGGCUUUGCCUGCCAUCUCUUACCCAUGUCUUUUGAGUACCUUACGUUUCCUCGGCGGGUCCGCCCGCCGACUGGACAAUUUAAACCACUUGCAGUUGCAAUCAGCGUCUGAAAAAACUUAAUAGUUACAACUUUCAACAACGGAUCUCUUGGUUCUGGCAUCGAUGAAGAACGCAGCGAAAUGCGAUAAGUAGUGUGAAUUGCAGAAUUCAGUGAAUCAUCGAAUCUUUGAACGCACAUUGCGCCCCUUGGUAUUCCAUGGGGCAUGCCUGUUCGAGCGUCAUUUGUACCUUCAAGCCUUGCUUGGUGUUGGGUGUUUGUCUCGCCUCUGCGCGUAGACUCGCCUCAAAACAAUUGGCAGCCGGCGUAUUGAUUUCGGAGCGCAGUACAUCUCGCGCUUUGCACUCAGAACGACGACGUCCAAAAGUACAUUUUUACACUCUUGACCUCGGAUCAGGUAGGGAUACCCGCUGAACUUAAGCAUAUCAAUAAGCGGAGGAA
This 511-nucleotide small RNA is filed under the name Phoma sp. QL96-2. RNAcentral's name for it is "eukaryotic LSU rRNA". The stretch from base 140 to 293 matches the Rfam family "5.8S ribosomal RNA". The record is from RNAcentral. Lineage: Eukaryota; Fungi; Ascomycota; Dothideomycetes; Pleosporales; Didymellaceae.